AUGCUUAUCAGCUCUCCGGAGGUGGCUGCUAUUACAGCUUAUCAGCCAGCCCCCAUUUGCGGGAGCAGCUCCUGCACGUGGGUCGAUGCAGAGUGGAAUGGCAGAGCUUUCCCCUGCUCCCCCAAACCCUCAUCCCAGUGCGUUGCUCAGGGCAGGUCCGAAGGGGUGGGGUUGUCCCCAAGGUGGGUUCGUGCCCCAAAGCCCCCCCAGGAGCUCCGCACAUUGGGAGGAGGAUUUGUAGCUUGCAAUUAUGCUCCAUUAAGGAGCGCUAAUGGGGUUGGAUUUGGUUGGAGCCACGUGGGCAGUAAGGUCAGGGCGGAACAAUAUCCUGUUGACAUCACUCCCAAGGAGCACUUCACCAAAAUGGGCCUUGCUGGAACUUCUCCCGGGUGCAAAACCCCAAACUGGGGCACGGCAUCUUCCUUCUCCCCCGUUAUGAGUGGGGGUGACAUCCGUUAUUUAUAUCACAUCCUGAGUGCCCAAGCAGCAAUGUGUGGGGCUGGGAGCAGGCGGCAGCCGGAGGUACAGGAGCAUCCCCUGAGCAGCACGGGGUGCAUCACCCUGCAGCACGCCGUGCCUUCAGGGUCAGCCCAGAGGAAGGCAGGGAAGCGCCUGCAGAUGUGCAGCUCCCCCGAGGAUGGUGCGUGGGCUUCACCCCGGUCAACAAAAUAAACACUUGGAUGCCUGUCGCUCUGAGCCUUGUGUCCCGCGGGCCGGGGUGUGUGCAGUUCCUGUUGGGUUUGGUGCCGGUUGUCAGUGUGACACCGCUAACAGCCCGCUGCUGGCUCUGGUUCCGUCCUGCUGCGCCUGCAGCUUUCAUGUUCCCCGCUGCGGUCUGCGAGGCGGGGUGGAGGGCUCAAAGGGAAGGAAGCGGGCGCAGCCAAGGGGAGGAAGCCGGCUGGUUUCCCUUCUGCGUCUGUGAGCACGUGCGGGGAGCAGGGGGAGCAGGGUGCAGCCAGAUCAGACGGCAGAUAGGGCUGGCAGGCAGCAGCCCUCUUUCCUUCCCCAUGUUCCCACUGGCCCUCUCUCUGCGUGCGUCAGCCUGCAGGAUGCAUAGGGCCGCGUGCUGCCGCGUGGCCGUGCAGUGCGUGACGGCAGCCGCGCAGGGGAGCUUCCUCCCUGCAGGACGGGGCCACAGCAGGGGCAGGGCAGCAGUUCCCAGCUAUUUCUGGCUGCUGGGGUUAUUUCUGGUUCUGCUUGUCGUCCUGUGGCUGCUCAGUUCCCCUGUUCGCACUCUAUGAUCCCACCGAUGCUCUCCAUGACCCAUCUGUGGGCCAUCCCAUGGAGCUGCGAUGCCCAUGGGGCUGUGAUGCCCGUCCCAUGGAGCUACAAUCCCAUGGACCCCAUAGAGCACAGGGCAGCAACGUGCCGCCCGCCAGCUCGCCUCUGCCCUGGCGGCUUCUAAAUAAGGAGCUGCCCUCCCCGCAGCUCAGGUGACACAGGGAUUAUUUUUAGCAGUGAAUGGAGCAGAGCUGAAGCUCUCUGCCCCCGUCAAGGGUACGGCAUCAUGUUGUGCUGGGGGGAUUUUCCUGCAUGGCUCUCUGAAUGGCUCCGUCACCACCUGGGGCUGUGGCACAGGUAGGAUGCUCUGUUGUGGCCUCUCUGCUUCUCCUCCUGCUGCCAGGUCCCUCCUGCUGGCUCUGGGCUCCGUUGCAUCUCCCACCCCAAAAGGCUGCAAACUUCUCUGCUUGGGCUGCACUGCAUGCUCCCUCCUGCAUGACACUGGGCAGCAGGAAAGAGCCUCAGCUCUCUGUUUUUCGCACAGGUUGGGGGCAAAGCAAGUGGGAAAAGGGAAGGAGAGAUGCACUAUCCUGGUGCUGUGCAGAGGGAAUACCCGGAGCAGCCCUGAAUGGAGUGGCCAUGGCCAUACCCAGCUCAGCACCACCUGUGGGGUCUGCCACGAGCCAUCCUCAUGGGAUGAGAUCCCACUGAUUCCAGCCCCAAAAUGAGCAGGGCCGAUAGCUAGGGGG
Long non-coding RNA from Meleagris gallopavo (turkey), 1970 nucleotides. The record is from Ensembl. Lineage: Eukaryota; Metazoa; Chordata; Aves; Galliformes; Phasianidae.